UUUAUCAAAAACAUGUCUCUUUGAGUUUUUUUAAUAAAGAGUUGGGCCUGCUCGGUGAUUAAUAUUUAACAGCUGCGGUAUUAUAACUGUACUAAGGUAGCAUAAUAAUUUGCUCUAUAAAUUGGGGCUAGAAUGAAUGGUUUGACGAAAAUUUAACUGUCUCUAUUUUAUUUAUUAGAAAUUAAUUUUUAUAGUGAGAAAGCUUAAAUUGUUUAAAGGGACGAAAAGACCCUAUUGAGCUUAUAUUAUUUAUUAAAUUAUAGAGUUAUAAUUUAUUAUAAAUUAAUUUUGGUUGGGGUGAUCAAGGAAUAAGUUUAAUGAUUAUAUAACUUCCUUAACUGAACUAUUUUUUGGAAAAAUAAACCAAGUUUUUUGCUUAGAAGAUAAGUUACCAUAGGGAUAACAGCGUAAUUUUUUUUGAGAGUUCGUAUUGAAAAAAGAGAUUGCGACCUCGAUGUUGGAUUAAAAUUAACCUUAAGGUGUAGAGGCUUUGUUAGGUAAAUCUGUUCGAUUUUUAAAAUUUUACGUGAUCUGAGUUCAGACCGG
Molecule: ribosomal RNA, 546 nt
Filed under: Octopus bimaculatus (Verill's two-spot octopus)
Lineage: Eukaryota; Metazoa; Mollusca; Cephalopoda; Octopoda; Octopodidae
Description: partial 16S ribosomal RNA
Rfam family: Bacterial large subunit ribosomal RNA
Source: RNAcentral